UGCUUCUGCACCUUGUGCUUUGCUUUUAUUUUCUCCCAAGCAGCACUUUGACAAGUCUCAGCAUUCCCUGAGCCCAGCCUGAACCCACCUCCCACCCCAGGGAGUCACUGCCAGCAGGUAACCCCCCCUCAGCUGUAGGACCAGCCCUGUGCAGAGCCAGGCACAGCCCUCCAGGCAAGAGUGGUUCCAGCAGAAAUGCAUGACAGCAGGUGGGAAAGCAGCACCACUCUGCUCUGCUGCAGAGCCCCCUGCAAGGGGCAAGCAGGACAAGUGACCCCUGCCCAGGCAUCAGUUCCUGCCUCCAAACACCAGCAGUGAAGAGCUGGCUCCAAGCUCAGGGCUGUGGUUGCUAGAAGGGGUUCUGUGCUGCUGUUACCCAGGAGGGAAAUUCCCUGCAGCACAGCUGCAAGGAGGGAAGCGUUCCUGCCCCAGCAGCAUUGAAACAAGGCCCUAGGAUCGUUUCAGGCAGCACACAGCAGCAGGAAGGCAGCUGCGGUCCUCCCAUGCGAGCGACGCUACCGUAAAGUCACUGCUGAGGUUACUUUUCAGAUAACGGCCCUUGUUAAAUUAAACCAGAAAGGAAACACAGCUCAUUCAGCCUGAGAGAGGUGCUGGGCCCCAGCCAAGGUGAGUACGGCCCCGUGUAGUCUUGUGCAUGCAGACAGCAGGGGAGGCACCGAGGCAUGGGGAGCAGGGAAGGGGCUCACUCCACGCUGAUGGGAGGCUGCACAUUCAGCUGUGCCAUGCCCAGGCAAGAGACCUUCCCAGCCACAGGUGCUCUUUGCCAAGAAGCUGGCAACAGUCCCCCAGGAGUGUGAAAUCCAGCCCCCACCACUGCAGCAGGCAGCUGUAUCCCAGCAGUACGUCUGAGCACGCAGAGAUGAGCCCACAUGGAACUUCCCUCCAGGCCAGCUCUGCCCUCACCCCAGAAUCCCAGCAGUGCUGGGACACAGCCACAGCAGCUGUGGCUAAGUGCAUGCUGUGGGCUACCACCUGCUUUGGUCAGUGUGUGCUCAGCCUCCUUCCAUCCUGUCUUCACCUCUCCAGGAGCAUCAGCAACUUGCUGCACUGAUUUUAUACAGGUACUAGGGUUGAGGUGUCAGUGUGUGCAUGGUGGCUCGCCUACAGUCCCCCAGGGAGAUGAGUUGUCUCUGGCGAGAGGCUCUUAUCAUCAGUGCCCAUGCCAGAACCCCAUGGCAUCCACGCGGGAGGCCAGAGCUGCUCCUCAGGUCACAAGUGGGAUCCCACAUCCACUGGCGCACCCUGCUUCACCUGCCUACGACAUGCUGCAGUUCGAUGGCUUUGAACCCUCCUCACUCACCUGCCGCUGUGACUGCUGGUACUCGGCUUCACUCGCUGACAGCGCCCGGGCCAGUGCCAGAUCCUCCUCCUCCUGCUGGGUGGCUGUGCUGAGCUGCGUGCUGACUCUGCCAGGGACAUCUCCAGAGCUCGCUGCAGAGCCUCUUCCUCACUCUGAAACAAAACAUCUUGUCACCAGCAUGGCUGGAGGUGGCAGGAGCCUGGCCAUGCCCACCUCACCUGGCAGAGGCUGGAGAAGAGGGGCUGUCUGCUGGCCGGGCAGCUCCACUGCUCGAUGCAGCAACCGUUUUGGAGGAGGAUGCCUGGGCUCUCGCAACUGCAGCCCUGUCUGUCCCCUGGCCCUCACCCUGCUUUGGAGAGUGGACGCCCUGCCCCACUGCAGUCAUGGUCCAGGGGGUGCCGGUGCUUGAGGCAGUAGUUCUUGUGGCACUGGUCACAAAUCACCUUCAUCAUCUCCUUCUGCUUGCAGCCAGGCUUCAAACACUUGUUGGUUGCUACCUUGCACUUGCGCUGUGCAGGGUCAGACUUGCAGUCACGGUCGAUGUGCUCACCCACCACGACAUCGGGCAUCUCCCCGCGCCUCACGGGGACCGGGGUGUUGCAGAGGGGACACACAGGGACCUGGACAUCCUCACUUACCUUCUUGUAGGCAGAGGUGCAGUCGUGCUGGGCGUAAGCGAUGUGGUCGGUGCAGAAGAUCUGCUCGCAGGCGUCACACUUGAGGGGGAGGAAACCCAGGCGCUGGCAGGCGGGCCAGGAGCAGUGCGCGCCCACGUCCGGGAACUCCAU
Molecule: long non-coding RNA, 2109 nt
Organism: Strigops habroptila (Kakapo)
Lineage: Eukaryota; Metazoa; Chordata; Aves; Psittaciformes; Psittacidae
Source: Ensembl